This is a non-coding RNA of Taeniopygia guttata (zebra finch), 1688 nucleotides long. The record is from RefSeq and is a predicted model, not a curated record. NCBI's taxonomy places the organism in Eukaryota, Metazoa, Chordata, Aves, Passeriformes, Estrildidae.
GCCAAUGGGCUCGCAGCCCCGCGCCCCGCGCGGCCAAUGGGAGCGCUGCGCUGCGCAGCCUCGCCCUCCUCCUCCCGCCUCCCGCUGCCGGGCGAGAGCCGGCGGGGCUCGGGCCGCGCCUUUGGCGGGGUCCCUCCCCCUCACUCUCGCUGCCUCCCUCCCGCCCCAACGGCCGCGGGGUCGCGGGGCGGAGCGGGCGGGGUCGCCGGGCGGUUUAGCGGAGCCCAUUUACCCGCCGCUGCCGCCGGCUUCGCCCCGCCCCGCCCCGUCCCGUCCGUCAGGGGCCGCGCGGGCUGUGCGCGCCCCUCGCGCCUCCCGCCGCCGGCCGCGCGCCCCGCGCGCCCCUCACGGGGUCCGGCGCCCGUUCGCGGGGUCCCCGCGGCCGCCGCUCUGCGAAACGAGGGGAUGAGAGAACCAGCUAGGCUGGAAAAGGCCUCUGAGGUCAGCGAGUCCAGUUUAUGACCAACCCGGUUAUGGCAGCGAGCGCCACAUCCAGUCUUUCCUCCAACACCUUCAGGGACAGCAGCAUCUGGGCUUUCAACCCACCUCGUCUCCACUGCUUUUUAUACCAGAGCCAGGAUUUCCAAACCUUUUAACGUAACUCUGUAAUUUCUUCUGAAAGGCAGGUCUGAAAGCUUGUAAACUCAAAUGAAAAAAUCGACCCCAAAGUGACCUUCACUCCUUGGUAUCACCAGCCAUGUAGCAGCCAAGGGUUAUUCUCUUGCAGUACCUAUGUGCCACACCUUAAAAAGUGGGAUUUGUGCGGACAUUUGCUCUUUUUCCUUGUUUAUGCUUUGAUACAAUUACUGUGCAUUGGUUUCUUUCUAUAAAAUGUGCACUAGAGGGUGUGAUUGUUGUAACGCAGAGCCACUAACAAGUAAAAAUGUAAAUACUAAAAAAAUAAUCUGUGUUUUUUCUUGACUCCCCCAACCAGGCAUGACCACAUGGAAUUUGAGUUACUUAAAUGAGGAACACUCACAUGUUUCAAAAAUCAAACCAGGGGGAAAAAAUCAGGUUUUUACAUUCAAGCUGUCAUUUGAAUAUUUAUUUAAUUUAUGUUGAGCUUUGAAAAUUACCUUUAUCAACUAGUCAAGAAGCCAUUAUCUCUGUUCAAACAACACACUCUUGUGACCUUUGUUCAGGGGACUUCUUGUCUGGUCUUCAAGUUAGCCUUAUAAGCUGCCCAUUACAACAAUAUCAGACAUUUUAAAGUAAAGGUUUAAGGAAUUUCCAAGGUUAUAACGUCUACUGAAAUAAUUAUUCUGUUAGUAACUUCUGUGCCUCUUUUACCAUGCUCCUUACCAUGAAAGUGCUUUUGUGUUUCUGAGAUUAUGGAAUUACGUGGAGCAAUAAAGGGCAUUCUCACUUGCAGCCAUCAAUCGAAACUGUUUGUGUUUCCCUCUGCUCUUGCUUGACUUGCCUAAGAAACUGCAAUUACGUUCUCUGCCAGGUACCUCUUAAAGGAAAAAGAACAAAGAUUAAAAAUUUUAAUAUCCCUGACAUGGCAAACCAAAAGCACCAGUAGCUAGUUAAUAAUGGGCCCUUUAAUGUGUAACCUUGAAGCUUUUUGUGUGAUGAUCCUUGUGGGGGAUGUUUGCUGUUUUCAGGUAUUGUGCUGAAUCAAGACACCACCUGAUGCCAGAAAUCAGAGCUGGAGAGUGAUAAGUGAUUUUAUCUAUGCUGGUUCA